UCAGCAGAUAUAAUUCCUGGAUACCUCAGGCAUCGAAAGUCUAGACCAUAUCGGUAAUGGUAGUACUGGGGAAGGGAGAAACACAGCUUUACAAAUCAAG
Tinamus guttatus (white-throated tinamou) is the source of this 100-nucleotide non-coding RNA. Lineage: Eukaryota; Metazoa; Chordata; Aves; Tinamiformes; Tinamidae. The record is from RefSeq and is a predicted model, not a curated record.